GGUAGAUGCUAAUGGAUCAGUGAAACUUGCAGAUUUUGGAUUGGCAAAAGUGACUGAGUUUAAUAAUCUCAUAAAAUCCUGCAAGGGAACGCCAUGUUGGAUGGCCCCGGAGGUUGUCAACCUGAAAAGAACAGGAGGGUAUGGGCUUCCAGCAGACAUAUGGAGUCUCGGAUGCACUGUGUUGGAAAUGUUAAUUCGGAAACCUCCAUACUCUCAUUUGGAACCUGCACAGGUUUUGUACAAGAUUGGAAGGGGUGAGCCACCUCCUGUUCCUGAUUUUCUGUCAGGAUUAUCACAGGAUUUUAUCCUGCAAUGCCUGCAAGUUAAUCCAGACGAUCGUCCCACUGCUGCUCAGCUCUUGGACCAUCCAUUUGUUAAGCGGUCAUCUCAUGCCUAAUUAGGCUUUGCAAAUAUCUCAGUAAUUGUGGUGGUUUUCUCCGAUUCAGCCACUUAUGCCAUUAUAAAAUGGAAAAAUUCUUGCCCAUCACCAAUACAUCACAGACAUAAUACAUAGACAUAUAGUCGUAUCAACAUGUAAAAUAGGUAGAUUUUACAUACUUGUGUCUUAAAUUCAUGAUAGACUAAUCAGAGAACAAAACAAUCCUUAAAAAUAUUACCAUUUUUUUUUCUUACAUUGGAUAUUCUUAGAAGGAAAAGACAAUGCUAGGAGCAUUUGUAACAUUUAUAAAUUUACUUCCAAC
This 701-nucleotide unclassified non-coding RNA is filed under the name Hevea brasiliensis (rubber tree). The record is from RNAcentral. Lineage: Eukaryota; Viridiplantae; Streptophyta; Magnoliopsida; Malpighiales; Euphorbiaceae.